AGGAGAGUUUGAUCCUGGCUCAGGAUGAACGCUGGCGGCGUGCCUAACACAUGCAAGUCGAACGGAGAUUUAACGCUGAUGAAGCUUCGGCAGAUUCUUGUUAAAUCUUAGUGGCGGACGGGUGAGUAACGCGUGGGCAACCUGCCUCAUACUGGGGGAUAACAGCUGGAAACGACUGUUAAUACCGCAUAAGCGCACGGUAUCGCAUGAUACAGUGUGAAAAACUCCGGUGGUAUGAGAUGUGCCCGCGUCAGAUUAGCCAGUUGGCAGGGUAACGGCCUACCAAAGCGACGAUCUGUAGCCGGCCUGAGAGGGCGGACGGCCACAUUGGGACUGAGACACGGCCCAAACUCCUACGGGAGGCAGCAGUGGGGGAUAUUGCACAAUGGAGGAAACUCUGAUGCAGCGACGCCGCGUGAGUGAAGAAGUAUUUCGGUAUGUAAAGCUCUAUCAGCAGGGAAGAAAGACUCGUAAGAGAGAUGACGGUACCUGACUAAGAAGCCCCGGCUAACUACGUGCCAGCAGCCGCGGUAAUACGUAGGGGGCAAGCGUUAUCCGGAUUUACUGGGUGUAAAGGGAGCGCAGACGGCUUAGCAAGUCUGAAGUGAAACCCCACGGCUCAACCGUGGGCUUGCUUUGGAAACUGUUAGGCUAGAGUACUGGAGAGGUAAGCGGAAUUCCUAGUGUAGCGGUGAAAUGCGUAGAUAUUAGGAGGAACAUCGGUGGCGAAGGCGGCUUACUGGACAGCAACUGACGUUGAGGCUCGAAGGCGUGGGGAGCAAACAGGAUUAGAUACCCUGGUAGUCCCCU
RNAcentral lists this ribosomal RNA (810 nucleotides) under uncultured Bacillota bacterium. Its description in RNAcentral is "bacterial SSU rRNA". It matches the Rfam family "Bacterial small subunit ribosomal RNA", at positions 1 to 799 of the family's 1533-position model. The record is from RNAcentral. Lineage: Bacteria; Bacillati; Bacillota.